UGCCUAGCCGUAAACUUUUAUUUACACCCAAUCGCCAGGGAAAUACGAGCUAAGCUUAAAACCCAAAGGACUUGACGGUACCCCCAUAUCCCCCUAGAGGAGCCUGUCCUAUAAUCGAUAAUCCACGUUAAACCUCACCAUUUUUAGUUAAUCAGCCUGUAUACCUCCGUCGUCAGCUUACCACGUGAGCGCCAAUUAGUGAGCUUAAUGUUUUUCACCAAUACGUCAGGUCAAGGUGCAGCAAAUAAAGUGGGAAGAGAUGGGCUACACUCUCUAUUUUAGAAAAAACGAAAAACUACCUAUGAAACCUAGUUAGAAGGCGGAUUUAGCAGUAAAAAGGAAUCAGCAUGUCCCUUUUAAUCCGGCACUGGGGUGUGUACACACCGCCCGUCACCCUCUUCAAAGCUUCAAACACAG
Molecule: ribosomal RNA, 417 nt
Filed under: Duttaphrynus melanostictus (Asian common toad)
Lineage: Eukaryota; Metazoa; Chordata; Amphibia; Anura; Bufonidae
Description: partial 12S ribosomal RNA
Rfam family: Bacterial small subunit ribosomal RNA
Source: RNAcentral